ACUCAAAUGAAUUGACGGGGGCCCGCACAAGCGGUGGAUCAUGUGGUUUAAUUCGAAGCAACGCGAAGAACCUUACCUGGGUUUGACAUCCCUCGACAGCCGUAGAAAUACGGUUUCUGUAGCAAUACAGCGGGGUGACAGGUGCUGCAUGGCUGUCGUCAGCUCGUGUGGUGACAUGUUGGGUUAAGUCCCGCAACGAGCGCAACCCUUGUCUUUAGUUGCCAGCAUUAAGUUGGGCUCUCUAAAGAGACUGCCGUGGUUAACACGGAGGAAGGUGGGGAUGACGUCAAGUCCUCAUGGCCUUUAUAUCCAGGGCGACACACGUGAUACAAUGGUCGGUACAGAGGGAAGCAAAGGAGCGAUCUGGAGCUAAUCUCAAAAAGCCGAUCUCAGUUCGGAUUGGAGUCUGCAACUCGACUCCAUGAAGUUGGAAUCGCUAGUAAUCGCGGAUCAGCACGCCGCGGUGAAUACGUUCCCGGGCCUUGCACACACCGCCCGU
Molecule: ribosomal RNA, 499 nt
Filed under: uncultured bacterium
Lineage: Bacteria
Description: partial 16S ribosomal RNA
Rfam family: Bacterial small subunit ribosomal RNA
Source: RNAcentral